GUAGCAUUUACACUAAUGUUUUAUUUUUUUGUCACAUUUUUUACUUAAUUUUUACAUGUAUUUACUUUUAGUGUUGUGAAUGAUAUUAUUGGUACACAUGUAUGAUAUCAUUUAUAAAUGUGUACGUAUCGUGACCUAUAGUUGUUUAUUUCUAUGUCAUUUUGGUCUCUUGUGGAGAGAUGUCACAUUGGCAAUCAUACCACAUCUUCUUAUUUUUAUGAGAACCUUUCUUUAUGUUGGGUGCCAUUGAAAAUGGAAAAUACAUCUGUGAUCAGGCCAUGUAAUUAUAGAUUGUUACAUUUUCAUGUCUGCUGUGGUAUCAUGCUGAGACUCCCAUUUAAACUAGAGGGAUCAUAUGGAUCAAAGGAUGAUACAUGGAAAAGAGUAUGUUAUUAUCAUGGGAUUCAUCUCUUAAAAGACAUAUACAGUACAGUAGAAUAUAAUUCUUCAACUAAAUAAUUUUCAGUACUAGAAGGUUGAGCAAAAAAUUUGAGAUAUAGUCCUUGAAUAUCAUUGUAAGAUUCUAGGAGUGUGUAGAGUGGGUAUGGCUCCCCCAUUUAAAAAGGAAGAAAUAACAUGUUUUGGCUUCAAAUCACUACAUUAUUUCCCAACUUGCAUAUAUUCUGUUUUCUUAAAUUGAACUUGUUAUUUUAGUGUUAUUGUCAGGCUAUUGGUAUUUGUUUUUCUUCUGCAUUUCAUUAUGUUCAACAAUGGCAGAACAAGUAUUAUUCUCCUUAUAUGAAAAAUGACAAAUCAGUUGAUUGUUUGUGAAUAUUUAUAUUGAUGUAUAGGAUAGGGUUCACAUCAAAUACAUUUAAUGAUACUUGUCUCGCCUGUAAUAGGCAAGAUGUUGAUGAAUCCUGGUUUCCUUGUAAGAGGAUUAUCCAUGAGAAUUCAGUAAUGCAAUUAUUGCCAUUUCAAUUCUUCUCACUUCUGUACAUUUUUUUAAUGAAUUGUAGUUGUCUAAAUAGUAUAUAUAAAAAAUGUAAAUGAAUCCUGUCCAGAAAUACACUGUAAUUCCUAUAAUUCAAUGUUCCUGUACAGAUCAAAUUGUAAGUUCAGAAAUCUUGGCAGAUUAUUUUAUUGCUAAAAUAAGAAAUUGCAAUCUGGUAUCUGAUGCAUAUAUCUGUAUGCAGAUUUUCAUGAAAUUCCAAUAAUAAGUAUUGUUUUUUGUUAAUAAAUAACAAUUAUAAUUGUACACAAUAAUUUCUGAAUUAACAGUUUAUAUAAAAGAUUUAAGUACUCCCUGUAUAGAAA
Molecule: long non-coding RNA, 1257 nt
Filed under: Mytilus galloprovincialis (Mediterranean mussel)
Lineage: Eukaryota; Metazoa; Mollusca; Bivalvia; Mytilida; Mytilidae
Source: RNAcentral